RNAcentral lists this Y RNA (113 nucleotides) under Prolemur simus (greater bamboo lemur). RNAcentral's name for it is "Y RNA (ENSPSMG00000010970.1)". It matches the Rfam family "Y RNA". From Rfam's summary of the family: Y RNAs are components of the Ro ribonucleoprotein particle (Ro RNP), in association with Ro60 and La proteins. The record is from Rfam by way of RNAcentral. Lineage: Eukaryota; Metazoa; Chordata; Mammalia; Primates; Lemuridae.
AGCUGGUCCAAAGGUAGCGAGUUAUCUCACUUGAUGGUUCACAGUUAGUUUCAGAUUGAAUUCCUUGUUCUACUACUUCCCCCCUCCUCACUACUGGACUUGACUAGUCUUUG